This 337-nucleotide unclassified non-coding RNA is filed under the name soil metagenome. RNAcentral's name for it is "partial contains 5.8S ribosomal RNA, internal transcribed spacer 2, and large subunit ribosomal RNA". The stretch from base 1 to 120 matches the Rfam family "5.8S ribosomal RNA", at positions 35 to 154 of the family's 154-position model. The record is from RNAcentral.
GAUGAACAACGUAGCGAAAUGCGAUAAGUAGUGUGAAUUGCAGAAUUCAGUGAAUCAUCGAAUCUUUGAACGCACAUUGCGCCCCAUGGUAUUCCGUGGGGCAUGCCUGUUCGAGCGUCAUUUACCCCCUCAAGCUCCGCUUGGUGUUGGGCGUCUGUCCCGCUUCGCGCGCGGACUCGCCCCAAAGGUAUUGGCAGCGGUCGUGCCAGCUUCUCGCGCAGCACAUUGCGCUUCUCGAGGCACCGGUGGGCCCGCGUCCAUCAAGCUCACCCCCCCAGUUUGACCUCGGAUCAGGUAGGGAUACCCGCUGAACUUAAGCAUAUCAAUAAGCGGAGGA